RNAcentral lists this long non-coding RNA (2422 nucleotides) under Xyrichtys novacula (pearly razorfish). The record is from RNAcentral. Lineage: Eukaryota; Metazoa; Chordata; Actinopteri; Labriformes; Labridae.
CCUGGAUGACCAACAACUAUCUGAUGCUCAACUCAGACAAAACUGAAGUUCUUGUCCUCGGUCCUAAACAUCUUAGAGAGGCAUUCUCUAAUAAUUUCGCUAUGCUAGAUGGCAUCAGUCUGGCAUCCAGCCCCACUGUGCGAAAUCUGGGAGUUUUUUUUGAUCAGGAAUUGUCCUUUAGCUCCCACAUUAAACAAAUCUCUAGGACAGCUUUUUUCCACCUGCGCAAUGUCUCAAAAAUUAGACCCAUCCUGUCUCAGAGUGAUGCGGAAAAACUAGUCCAUGCCUUUGUUACCUCUAGGCUGGACUACUGUAAUUCUCUGUUAUCAGGCUGCUCCAGUAAGUCUUUAAGGACUCUUCAGCUGGUCCAAAAUGCAGCAGCUCAGGUAUUGACUAGAACCAGAAGAAGGGAGCACAUCUCUCCUGUCUUAGCCUCUCUUCAUUGGCUCCCUAUUAAAUCUAGAAUUGAAUUUAAAAUCCUCCUUGUGACAUAUAAAGCGCUUAACAGCCAGGCUCCAUCAUAUCUCGACGAGCUUGUUGUACCGUACUUUCCGUCUAGACUGUUACACUCACAGUCUGCAGGCCUGCUCGUUGUACCAAAUGUCUCUAAAAGUAGUAUUGGAGGAAGCGCUUUCAGCUACCAGGCACCUCUCCUCUGGAAUCAUUUACCGCUCGAGGUUCAGGGGGCAGACACCCUCUCAACUUUCAAGAGUAGACUUAAAACGUUCCUCUUUGAAAAAGCUUAUAGCUGAUUUGAACCAGCUCUUAGUUAUGCUGCUAUAGGUCUAGACUGCCGGGGUUAUCUGGCACACUGAGCUAGAGUCUGUCUCUAGCUCUUCUUUAGAUCUUUAUGUCCCAUAUAAGUCACUAACCAGUUUUCUGUCUCUUUGAGUGUCUCUGAGUCUCUUAGCUGCCACUGGACUAAUGCUGCAGACGGUCUGCUGCGGAACUGCCUGACCCCAGCUGCAUUAUCCCUGAUUGUCCACCCUGGGCCCUGAGCUCCUCCAUCUCUUUGGCUCCUCUGGACCGUUGCUGCAGACACCCCCUGCCCCUUGGUUGCUCCGGACUGAUGGCUGCAGCAGACCUGCCUGACUCUAGCCGCAUCAUCUAUGAUUGUCCGCCUCAGGCCCUGAGCUCCUUCUUCUCUUGGAUUCCUCUGGACUGUUAGCCGCAUCGUCUAUGAUUGUCCACCUCAGGCCCUGAGCUCCUUCUUCUCCUGGAUUCCUCUGGACUGUUACUGCAAACAUGAUCAUCAGCCUCACUGACAUUACGAUUAGACCUCCUGACUGUAAUCACAUUUAAUUAAUUUAACAUUGUCCAUAAUCACUCAUAUCCUAACCCUGUAAACUGAACUCAUUUUGUUUCACCAUUACAUGAGCUGUUGUUGUUGUUGCUGUUGUUUCUGCUGUUCCCUGUCUCUCUCUCACCCUCGUUCUCUACCCCCCCCCCCCUUACUCAUUCUCUCUCUUCUUCCCCUUAUCUUGUUCUCUCUCUCUCCCCCUGCCCUCUCCCCUCUUCUCUCUCUCCUCUCUCUCCCUCCAUCUCUCUACAUUCCUCCCCAACCCAGCAGCGGCAUGGUGGCUGUCUAACAUGAGUCUGGUCUUGCCCAAGGUUUCUGCCUGUUAAAAGGAAGUUUUUCCUUGCCACUGCUACUCAUGUUAGUUGAGAUGGGCCAAAACCCAGCUUAGGUUGGUUCUUGAUCAUCAAACAAUGAGCGUGGUCUAGACCUGCUCUUGUUCUUUGAAAAGCGUCUUGAGAUGACGACUGUUGUGAAUUGGCACUAUAUAAAUAAAAUUUGAUUGAUUGAUUGAUUACUGCAACUCUUUGUAUGUAGGGAUUAGCCAGGCUUCCCUUGCCCGCCUGCAGCUUGUGCAGAACUCUGCUGCACGUCUCCUGACACAGACCCACAGGCGUAAGCACACCACCCCCAUCCUGGCAUCCUUACACUGGAUCCCUGUACAGUACAGAAUAAAUUUUAAGCUUUUAAUAUUUGUUUUUAAAGGCCUGAACAGUCUGGCUCCACCCUACAUUUCCAAGAUUCUCCAGCCUUACUGCCUCCCCCGACCCUUAAGAUCAGCUGAUCAGCUGUCACUGACAGUCUCCAAUACAAGGCUGAAGCUCAGGGGUGACAGAGCAUUUACCGCAGCUGCUCCCAAGCUCUGGAACGAGCUGCCCUUGAUAAUUAGACAGGCCUCCUUUUUUCCUGUUUUUAAAUCCCUUUUAAAAAUGCACUUUUAUUCCUUGGCUUUUAAUACAUUUUAGUGUUAUUUUGUUUGUUAUCAUCUCAGUACUUGCCAUGAGCCUGCUUAUUUAUAUAUUUAUUUAUUUAUUUAUUGCAUUUAUGUAUUUUUGCUCGCUCUAUCUUGUUCUUUGCUUGUUGUAUUUGUUUUUAUGUCGCAAUGUACAGCACUUUGGCUACCCC